AUCAGCCCUUCUAAAAUGGAGUUCUUGCACUGUUGAUUUGUUUUAACAGCAUGUUGGCCUAAUAAGUUUCGGCAGUAAUGUUGAAAUCACUGGCUUUUUUGCUUAGAAUCUGACAGUCUUGAUAUACAGAAUUUUGAGGUGACUUUUGUCCCCUCUUCAAUUUUGAUCUGAAAUCAGGUAGGAUUACCCGCUGAACUUAA
This 200-nucleotide unclassified non-coding RNA is filed under the name soil metagenome. Its description in RNAcentral is "partial contains internal transcribed spacer 2 and large subunit ribosomal RNA". The record is from RNAcentral.